AGUGAACGCUGGCGGCAGGCCUAAUACAUGCAAGUCGAACGGCAGCACAGUGGAGCUUGCUCCAUGGGUGGCGAGUGGCGGACGGGUGAGGAAUACAUGGGAAUCUGCCCAGUCGUGGGGGAUAACGUAGGGAAACUUACGCUAAUACCGCAUGCGCCCUUCGGGGGAAAGCCGGGGACCGUAAGGCCUGGCGCGAUUGGAUGAGCCCAUGUCGGAUUAGCUAGUUGGCGGGGUAACGGCCCACCAAGGCGACGAUCCGUAGCUGGUCUGAGAGGAUGAUCAGCCACACUGGAACUGAGACACGGCCCAGACUCCUACGGGAGGCAGCAGUAGGGAAUAUUGGACAAUGGGCGCAAGCCUGAUCCAGCCAUGCCGCGUGAGUGAAGAAGGCCCUCGGGUUGUAAAGCUCUUUUGUCCGGAAAGAAAGCACUGGGUUAAUACCCCGGUGUCCUGACGGUACCGGAAGAAUAAGCACCGGCUAACUUCGUGCCAGCAGCCGAC
RNAcentral lists this ribosomal RNA (501 nucleotides) under uncultured bacterium. Its description in RNAcentral is "bacterial SSU rRNA". It matches the Rfam family "Bacterial small subunit ribosomal RNA", at positions 29 to 518 of the family's 1533-position model. The record is from RNAcentral.